GAUGAACGCUGGCGGCGUGCCUAAUACAUGCAAGUCGAGCGAACAGAUGAGGAGCUUGCUCCUCUGACGUUAGCGGCUGACGGGUGAGUAACACGUGGAUAACCUACCUAUAAGACUGGGAUAACUUCGUGAAACCGGAGCUAAUACUGGAUAAUAUAUUGAACCGCAUGGUUCAAUAGUGAAAGACGGUUUUGCCGUCACUUAUAGAUGGAUCCGCGCCGCAUUAGCUAGUUGGUAAGGUAACGGCUUACCAAGGCGACGAUGCGUAGCUGACCUGAGAGGGUGAUCGGCCACACUGGAACUGAGACACGGUCCAGACUCCUACGGGAGGCAGCAGUAGGGAAUCUUCCGCAAUGGGCGAAAGCCUGACGGAGCAACGCCGCGUGAGUGAUGAAGGUCUUCGGAUCGUAAAACUCUGUUAUUAGGGAAGAACAAAUGUGUAAGUAACUAUGCACGUCUUGACGGUACCUAAACAGAAAGCCACGGCUAACUACGUG
This 497-nucleotide ribosomal RNA is filed under the name uncultured bacterium. Its description in RNAcentral is "partial 16S ribosomal RNA". It matches the Rfam family "Bacterial small subunit ribosomal RNA", at positions 28 to 507 of the family's 1533-position model. The record is from RNAcentral.